UACGUAGGGUGCGAGCGUUAAUCGGAAUUACUGGGCGUAAAGCGUGCGCAGGCGGUUUUGUAAGCCAGAUGUGAAAUCCCCGGGCUUAACCUGGGAACUGCAUUUGGGACUGCAAGGCUUGAGUGCGGCAGAGGAGACUGGAAUUCCUGGUGUAGCAGUGAAAUGCGUAGAUAUCAGGAGGAAUACCGAUGGCGAAGGCAGGUCUCUGGGCUGACACUGACGCUCAUGCACGAAAGCGUGGGGAGCGAACAGG
Molecule: ribosomal RNA, 253 nt
Filed under: uncultured bacterium
Lineage: Bacteria
Description: partial 16S ribosomal RNA
Rfam family: Bacterial small subunit ribosomal RNA
Source: RNAcentral